UUCGGAUGGAUUUAAAACAGCUUAGUGGCGGACGGGCGAGUAACGCGUGGGUAACCUGCCUCACACUGGGGGAUAACAGUUAGAAAUAGCUGCUAAUACCGCAUAAGCGCACGGUGUCGCAUGACACAGUGUGAAAACACUCCGGUGGUGUGAGAUGGACCCGCGUCUGAUUAGCUAGUUGGCAGGGCAACGGCCUACCAAGGCGACGAUCAGUAGCCGACCUGAGAGGGUGACCGGCCACAUUGGGACUGAGACACGGCCCAAACUCC
RNAcentral lists this ribosomal RNA (269 nucleotides) under uncultured Lachnospiraceae bacterium. RNAcentral's name for it is "partial 16S ribosomal RNA". It matches the Rfam family "Bacterial small subunit ribosomal RNA", at positions 73 to 339 of the family's 1533-position model. Lineage: Bacteria; Bacillati; Bacillota; Clostridia; Lachnospirales; Lachnospiraceae. The record is from RNAcentral.